AGUAAAUUGGGCAGUCGCGGAGCGUGCAACACCGCUCUGAGGAAAGUCCGAGCUUCAAACAGCAGGAUAACGGCUAACGGCCGCCGAGGGUGACCUUAGGGAAAGUGCAACAGAAAUAAACCGCCGCUUUUUGCGGUAAGGAUGGAAAGGCGAGGUAAGAGCUCACCGGCGUGCAGGAGACUGCACGGCCAUGUAAACCCUAUCCGAAGCAACACCGACCGAAUGCAAUUUUUUGCGCGUCAGCUGGGCGUAUAUUCAACGGGUGGCUUGAGCGUGCAGGCAACUGUACGUCGAGAAAGAUGAUUGCCUUAAAAGACAGAACUCGGCUUACAGAUUUACUCA
Molecule: RNase P RNA, 342 nt
Filed under: human gut metagenome
Description: Bacterial RNase P class A
Rfam family: Bacterial RNase P class A
About the family: Ribonuclease P (RNase P) is a ubiquitous endoribonuclease, found in archaea, bacteria and eukarya as well as chloroplasts and mitochondria. Its best characterised activity is the generation of mature 5'-ends of tRNAs by cleaving the 5'-leader elements of precursor-tRNAs. Cellular RNase Ps are ribonucleoproteins.
Source: RNAcentral